UGGGGAAUUUUGGACAAUGGGGGCAACCCUGAUCCAGCGACGCCGCGUGAAGGAUGAAGGUCUUCGGAUUGUAAACUUCUUUUGGAGGGGAUGAAUGCCUACGUGAAAAACGUAGGGUGACAGUACUCUCUGAAUAAGCCACGGCUAACUACGUGCCAGCAGCCGCGGUAAUACGUAGGUGGCAAGCGUUACUCGGAAUCACUAGGCGUAAAGCGCAGGUAGGAGGUUUGGUAAGUCUGUUGUGAAAGCUCCCGGCUUAACUGGGAGAGGUCAACGGAAACUACCAGGCUAGAGUGCGGUAGAGGAAGGUGGAAUUCCCGGUGUAGCGGUGAAAUGCGUAGAUAUCGGGAGGAAUACCUAUGGCGAAAGCAGCCUUCUGGACCGUCACUGACUCUGAUCUGCGAAAGCUAGGGGAGCAAACAG
RNAcentral lists this ribosomal RNA (423 nucleotides) under uncultured bacterium. RNAcentral's name for it is "bacterial SSU rRNA". It matches the Rfam family "Bacterial small subunit ribosomal RNA", at positions 355 to 775 of the family's 1533-position model. The record is from RNAcentral.